Molecule: ribosomal RNA, 425 nt
Filed under: uncultured bacterium
Lineage: Bacteria
Description: partial 16S ribosomal RNA
Rfam family: Bacterial small subunit ribosomal RNA
Source: RNAcentral
GUUGGGAAUAUUGGACAAUGGGCGCAAGCCUGAUCCAGCCAUGCCGCGUGAACGAUGAAGGCCUUCGGGUUGUAAAGUUCUUUAGCCGAUGAUUAUAAUGACUGUAGUCGGAAAAUAAGCCCCGGCUAACUUCGUGCCAGCAGCCGCGGUAAUACGAAGGGGGCGAGCGUUAUUCGGAAUCACUGGGCGUAAAGCGUGCGUAGGCGGUUUUGUAAGUUAGGAGUGAAAGCCCAGGGCUCAACCUUGGAAUUGCUCUUCAAACUGCAAAGCUCGAAUCUCGGAGAGGAUGGCGGAAUUUCCAGUGUAGCAGUGAAAUGCGUAGAUAUUGGAAGGAACACCAGUGGCGUAAGCGGCCAUCUGGACGAGUAUUGACGCUGAGGCACGAAAGCGUGGGGAUCAAACAGGAUUAGAAACCCGUGUAGUCC